RNAcentral lists this unclassified non-coding RNA (339 nucleotides) under Hevea brasiliensis (rubber tree). Lineage: Eukaryota; Viridiplantae; Streptophyta; Magnoliopsida; Malpighiales; Euphorbiaceae. The record is from RNAcentral.
GCCCUCGGUUUCGUGGAGAACAUGCUCUUCGGCGUUAUCCAACCGGAGAGGAGCGCUGCAUUGCUUGCAAGCUGUGUGAAGCUAUAUGCCCAGCACAAGCAAUCACUAUUGAAGCAGAGGAAAGAGAAGAUGGCAGUCGCCGUACUACAAGGUAUGACAUCGACAUGACAAAAUGCAUCUACUGUGGGUUCUGUCAGGAGGCAUGCCCUGUGGAUGCUAUAGUUGAAGGCCCUAACUUUGAGUUUGCGACAGAAACUCAUGAGGAGUUGCUGUACGACAAGGAGAAGCUGCUGGAGAAUGGUGACAGAUGGGAAACUGAGAUAGCAGAGAAUCUCCGAU